CGUGAACGCUGGCGGUAGGCCUAACACAUGCAAGUCGAACGGCAGCACAGUAAGAGCUUGCUCUUACGGGUGGCGAGUGGCGGACGGGUGAGGAAUACAUCGGAAUCUACUUUUUCGUGGGGGAUAACGUAGGGAAACUUACGCUAAUACCGCAUACGACCUACGGGUGAAAGCAGGGGAUCUUCGGACCUUGCGCGAUUGAAUGAGCCGAUGUCGGAUUAGCUAGUUGGCGGGGUAAAGGCCCACCAAGGCGACGAUCCGUAGCUGGUCUGAGAGGAUGAUCAGCCACACUGGAACUGAGACACGGUCCAGACUCCUACGGGAGGCAGCAGUGGGGAAUAUUGGACAAUGGGCGCAAGCCUGAUCCAGCCAUACCGCGUGGGUGAAGAAGGCCUUCGGGUUGUAAAGCCCUUUUGUUGGGAAAGAAAAGCAGCAGGUUAAUACCCCGCUGUUCUGACGGUACCCAAAGAAUAAGCACCGGCUAACUUCGUG
Molecule: ribosomal RNA, 492 nt
Filed under: uncultured bacterium
Lineage: Bacteria
Description: partial 16S ribosomal RNA
Rfam family: Bacterial small subunit ribosomal RNA
Source: RNAcentral